UAAUACGAACUGUGCAAACGUUAUUCGGAAUCACUGGGCUUACAGGGUGCGUAGGCGGUCUGUUAAGUAGGGUGUGAAAGCCCCCGGCUCAACCGGGGAAUUGCGCCCUAAACUGGCGGACUGGAGUGAGAUAGGGGUGUGCGGAACUUCCGGUGGAGCGGUGAAAUGUGUUGAUAUCGGAAGGAACGCCGGUGGCGAAAGCGGCACACUGGAUCUCAACUGACGCUGAGGCACGAAAGCCAGGGGAGCGAACGGGAUUAGAUACCCCGGUAGUCCUGGCUGUAAACGAUGAGCACUAGCUGGGAGGGACGUAGGUCCUUCCCAACGGAGCGAAAGUGUUAAGUGCUCCGCCUGGGGAGUAUGGUCGCAAGGCUG
RNAcentral lists this ribosomal RNA (375 nucleotides) under uncultured bacterium. RNAcentral's name for it is "bacterial SSU rRNA". It matches the Rfam family "Bacterial small subunit ribosomal RNA", at positions 521 to 896 of the family's 1533-position model. The record is from RNAcentral.